Long non-coding RNA from Magnolia sinica, 260 nucleotides. RefSeq lists it as uncharacterized. The record is from RefSeq and is a predicted model, not a curated record. NCBI's taxonomy places the organism in Eukaryota, Viridiplantae, Streptophyta, Magnoliopsida, Magnoliales, Magnoliaceae. The transcript is spliced from 2 exons.
ACCACCAUCUAAAGGAGCAAAAAACAAGGGACAUUUCAUUGAGUCAUUGUACUUUAGAAGAGGAACCAUCCUGUAACUUUAUGCUGUUCACUGCUUUCUAAUCAUUAAUAAAACAAGUGGGAUGAAUGGGAUGUUGGGAAUAUGGGCACAUCCCAAGUAGGUUUUGGAUCCCACUCAUCUUUAUCUUUCUAAUUGUGAUCAGAUGGCCAUUAGUACUUUGUACUAUUCACGUUAAGUGUCGAUAAGAUGCUUCCUCAAUA